Molecule: long non-coding RNA, 368 nt
Filed under: Lathyrus oleraceus (garden pea)
Lineage: Eukaryota; Viridiplantae; Streptophyta; Magnoliopsida; Fabales; Fabaceae
Description: Pisum sativum (pea) long non-coding RNA (PSAT_LNC030552)
Source: RNAcentral
UUUGAUGCAAAUAUGAUUUUUUCUUUAAAAUAUCAUAUGAAGAUAUUAAUAAUGAGUAGAUUCUGGAGAAAAAAAAGAGAGAGAGAUUUUUUUUUGUUUGUGAUUUUUUUUUUAAAAAAGAGAAGAAAACUAUUCUUAAAAAAUAAAAAAGUCAAGAAAUGGGAUUCGAACACAUGACAUUUUCACACUAAUAAAUAACUCCUUAAACUUACUCUACCACCCACUACACCCUUGAACUCAUCUAAAAAGAAAUGAUACUUCUAAAUAUUUAAAUAAAAACAAACAGUUUUAUAAUAGUUUAAACACUAAAAUAUUUUCAAUAGCCAAUAAUAACUAAUCUUUUUGCCUAAUUUUUAAUAAUAUAAAAG